UACGAAGGGGGCUAGCGUUGCUCGGAAUCACUGGGCGUAAAGCGCACGUAGGCGGCUUCUUAAGUCAGGGGUGAAAUCCUGGAGCUCAACUCCAGAACUGCCUUUGAUACUGAGAAGCUUGAGUCCGGGAGAGGUGAGUGGAACUGCGAGUGUAGAGGUGAAAUUCGUAGAUAUUCGCAAGAACACCAGUGGCGAAGGCGGCUCACUGGCCCGGUACUGACGCUGAGGUGCGAAAGCGUGGGGAUCAAACAGG
RNAcentral lists this ribosomal RNA (253 nucleotides) under uncultured bacterium. RNAcentral's name for it is "partial 16S ribosomal RNA". It matches the Rfam family "Bacterial small subunit ribosomal RNA", at positions 524 to 776 of the family's 1533-position model. The record is from RNAcentral.